RNAcentral lists this ribosomal RNA (1525 nucleotides) under Lactiplantibacillus pentosus. Its description in RNAcentral is "partial 16S ribosomal RNA". It matches the Rfam family "Bacterial small subunit ribosomal RNA". Lineage: Bacteria; Bacillati; Bacillota; Bacilli; Lactobacillales; Lactobacillaceae. The record is from RNAcentral.
CUGCAGGUCGACGAUUAGAGUUUGAUCCUGGCUCAGGACGAACGCUGGCGGCGUGCCUAAUACAUGCAAGUCGAACGAACUCUGGUAUUGAUUGGUGCUUGCAUCAUGAUUUACAUUUGAGUGAGUGGCGAACUGGUGAGUAACACGUGGGAAACCUGCCCAGAAGCGGGGGAUAACACCUGGAAACAGAUGCUAAUACCGCAUAACAACUUGGACCGCAUGGUCCGAGCUUGAAAGAUGGCUUCGGCUAUCACUUUUGGAUGGUCCCGCGGCGUAUUAGCUAGAUGGUGGGGUAACGGCUCACCAUGGCAAUGAUACGUAGCCGACCUGAGAGGGUAAUCGGCCACAUUGGGACUGAGACACGGCCCAAACUCCUACGGGAGGCAGCAGUAGGGAAUCUUCCACAAUGGACGAAAGUCUGAUGGAGCAACGCCGCGUGAGUGAAGAAGGGUUUCGGCUCGUAAAACUCUGUUGUUAAAGAAGAACAUAUCUGAGAGUAACUGUUCAGGUAUUGACGGUAUUUAACCAGAAAGCCACGGCUAACUACGUGCCAGCAGCCGCGGUAAUACGUAGGUGGCAAGCGUUGUCCGGAUUUAUUGGGCGUAAAGCGAGCGCAGGCGGUUUUUUAAGUCUGAUGUGAAAGCCUUCGGCUCAACCGAAGAAGUGCAUCGGAAACUGGGAAACUUGAGUGCAGAAGAGGACAGUGGAACUCCAUGUGUAGCGGUGAAAUGCGUAGAUAUAUGGAAGAACACCAGUGGCGAAGGCGGCUGUCUGGUCUGUAACUGACGCUGAGGCUCGAAAGUAUGGGUAGCAAACAGGAUUAGAUACCCUGGUAGUCCAUACCGUAAACGAUGAAUGCUAAGUGUUGGAGGGUUUCCGCCCUUCAGUGCUGCAGCUAACGCAUUAAGCAUUCCGCCUGGGGAGUACGGCCGCAAGGCUGAAACUCAAAGGAAUUGACGGGGGCCCGCACAAGCGGUGGAGCAUGUGGUUUAAUUCGAAGCUACGCGAAGAACCUUACCAGGUCUUGACAUACUAUGCAAAUCUAAGAGAUUAGACGUUCCCUUCGGGGACAUGGAUACAGGUGGCGCAUGGUUGUCGUCAGCUCGUGUCGUGAGAUGUUGGGUUAAGUCCCGCAACGAGCGCAACCCUUAUUAUCAGUUGCCAGCAUUAAGUUGGGCACUCUGGUGAGACUGCCGGUGACAAACCGGAGGAAGGUGGGGAUGACGUCAAAUCAUCAUGCCCCUUAUGACCUGGGCUACACACGUGCUACAAUGGAUGGUACAACGAGUUGCGAACUCGCGAGAGUAAGCUAAUCUCUUAAAGCCAUUCUCAGUUCGGAUUGUAGGCUGCAACUCGCCUACAUGAAGUCGGAAUCGCUAGUAAUCGCGGAUCAGCAUGCCGCGGUGAAUACGUUCCCGGGCCUUGUACACACCGCCCGUCACACCAUGAGAGUUUGUAACACCCAAAGUCGGUGGGGUAACCUUUUAGGAACCAGCCGCCUAAGGUGGGACAGAUGAUUAGGGUG